RNAcentral lists this ribosomal RNA (506 nucleotides) under uncultured Glomeromycotina. Its description in RNAcentral is "partial small subunit ribosomal RNA". It matches the Rfam family "Eukaryotic small subunit ribosomal RNA", at positions 591 to 1092 of the family's 1831-position model. The record is from RNAcentral. Lineage: Eukaryota; Fungi; Glomeromycota.
CCAAUAGCGUAUAUUAAAGUUGUUGCAGUUAAAAAGCUCGUAGUUGAAUUUCGGGAUUGACGUGAUGGUCGUGCCUUAAGGGGUAUGAACUGUCGCUGUUGAUUUCUCACCUUCUGGAGAAACUUGAUGUCCUUAAUUGGGUGUCUUGCGGAUCCAGGACCUUUACCUUGAAAAAAUUAGAGUGUUUAAAGCAGGCAUUUUGCUCGAAUACAUUAGCAUGGAAUAAUAGAAUAGGACGGCAUGGUUCUAUUUUGUUGGUUUCUAGGAUCACCGUAAUGAUUAAUAGGGAUAGUUGGGGGCAUUAGUAUUCAAUUGUCAGAGGUGAAAUUCUUGGAUUUAUUGAAGACUAACUACUGCGAAAGCAUUUGCCAAGGAUGUUUUCAUUAAUCAAGAACGAAAGUUAGGGGAUCGAAGACGAUCAGAUACCGUCGUAGUCUUAACCAUAAACUAUGCCGACUAGGAAUCAGACGAUGUUAAUUUUUUAAUGACUCGUUUGGCACCUUACG